GGAGCUUGCUCUUGUGGAUCAGUGGCGAACGGGUGAGUAACACGUGAGCAACCUGCCCCUGACUCUGGGAUAAGCGCUGGAAACGGCGUCUAAUACUGGAUAUGUGACGUGACCGCAUGGUCUGCGUUUGGAAAGAUUUUUCGGUUGGGGAUGGGCUCGCGGCCUAUCAGCUUGUUGGUGAGGUAAUGGCUCACCAAGGCGUCGACGGGUAGCCGGCCUGAGAGGGUGACCGGCCACACUGGGACUGAGACACGGCCCAGACUCCUACGGGAGGCAGCAGUGGGGAAUAUUGCACAAUGGGCGAAAGCCUGAUGCAGCAACGCCGCGUGAGGGAUGACGGCCUUCGGGUUGUAAACCUCUUUUAGCAGGGAAGAAGCGAAAGUGACGGUACCUGCAGAAAAAGCGCCGGCUAACUACGUGCCAGCAGCCGCGGUAAUACGUAGGGCGCAAGCGUUAUCCGGAAUUAUUGGGCGUAAAGAGCUCGUAGGCGGUUUGUCGCGUCUGCUGUGAAAUCCCGAGGCUCAACCUCGGGCCUGCAGUGGGUACGGGCAGACUAGAGUGCGGUAGGGGAGAUUGGAA
Molecule: ribosomal RNA, 579 nt
Filed under: Microbacterium sp.
Lineage: Bacteria; Bacillati; Actinomycetota; Actinomycetes; Micrococcales; Microbacteriaceae
Description: bacterial SSU rRNA
Rfam family: Bacterial small subunit ribosomal RNA
Source: RNAcentral